RNAcentral lists this ribosomal RNA (492 nucleotides) under uncultured bacterium. RNAcentral's name for it is "partial 16S ribosomal RNA". It matches the Rfam family "Bacterial small subunit ribosomal RNA", at positions 29 to 507 of the family's 1533-position model. The record is from RNAcentral.
AGUGAACGCUGGCGGUAGGCCUAACACAUGCAAGUCGAACGGCAGCACAGUAAGAGCUUGCUCUUACGGGUGGCGAGUGGCGGACGGGUGAGGAAUACAUCGGAAUCUACUUUUUCGUGGGGGAUAACGUAGGGAAACUUAAGAUAAUACAGCAUACGACCUACGGGUGAAAGGAGGGGAAAUUCGGACCUUGCGCGAUUGAAUGAGCCGAUGUCGGAUUAGCUAGUUGGCGGGGUAAAGGCCAACCAAGGCGACGAUCCGUAGCUGGUCUGAGAGGAUGAUCAGCCACACUGGAACUGAGACACGGUCCAGACUCCUACGGGAGGCAGCAGUGUGGAAUAUUGGACAAUGGGCGCAAGCCUUAUCCAGCCAUACCGCGUGGGUGAAGAAGGCCUUCGGGUUGUAAAGCCCUUUUGUUGGGAAAGAAAAGCAGCAGGUUAAUACCCCGCUGUUCUGACGGUACCCAAAGAAUAAGCACCGGCUAACUUCGUG